Molecule: ribosomal RNA, 492 nt
Filed under: uncultured bacterium
Lineage: Bacteria
Description: partial 16S ribosomal RNA
Rfam family: Bacterial small subunit ribosomal RNA
Source: RNAcentral
GAUGAACGCUAGCUACAGGCUUAACACAUGCAAGUCGAGGGGAAACGACAUCGAAAGCUUGCUUUUGAUGGGCGUCGACCGGCGCACGGGUGAGUAACGCGUAUCCAACCUGCCCACCACUUGGGGAUAACCUUGCGAAAGUAAGACUAAUACCCAAUGAUAUCUCUAGAAGACAUCUGAAAGAGAUUAAAGAUUUAUCGGUGAUGGAUGGGGAUGCGUCUGAUUAGCUUGUUGGCGGGGUAACGGCCCACCAAGGCAACGAUCAGUAGGGGUUCUGAGAGGAAGGUCCCCCACAUUGGAACUGAGACACGGUCCAAACUCCUACGGGAGGCAGCAGUGAGGAAUAUUGGUCAAUGGACGAGAGUCUGAACCAGCCAAGUAGCGUGCAGGAAGACGGCCCUAUGGGUUGUAAACUGCUUUUAUAAGGGAAUAAAGUGAGUCUCGUGAGACUUUUUGCAUGUACCUGAUGAAUAAGGACCGGCUAAUUCCGUG